This 8167-nucleotide long non-coding RNA is filed under the name Hordeum vulgare. Its description in RNAcentral is "long non-coding RNA (HVUL_LNC020212)". The record is from RNAcentral. Lineage: Eukaryota; Viridiplantae; Streptophyta; Magnoliopsida; Poales; Poaceae.
GGAGAGUUGUGACAUCCCCGGAUUAGGAUACAGUAAUCUCGGUAAUUGAACUACAGUAAACCUAUGCAAAGGAUGCCAUGUCGUCGUGUUUCCUAUCGUUGAUCUCGCGAUUGUUUGAGACAGUUCGAAUUUAAAUUUAAAAUUAAAAUCAAACAAGAAAAGUUAUAAUGUUAAAAUAAAAAAAUGUCGGGAGAGAUAUAAAAACUCCCUAAUGAAUUAUCAGGUGAACAGGGCAUUUAUAAGAUUAUUACAAUCCCUAUAUAAUUAAAAUAGAAAGCUAUUUCUAAAAAAAAUAAAAAUAAAAAAUAAAAGCCCCGUUGGCCGACUAGGCCAAAGUGGCCCAGCCGGCCACACCACAAACCCUAGUGCCACCCCCGCGUCGCUCCCAUCAACCCACGCCGCCAAGGAUCCUCGUCCCACCAACCGACCGCUCUGACGCCCCUGUUACAAAUUAAUUAGUAGAUUAAUUCAAGGGAUAUGUCCAACCCGAACAGUCGUGUCUCCUCUUUGUGUCUAUUGCCAACAAGCACCUGUUCUGUUCUGGAGGGAUGCCUCCGAACAGACACCUUUUCUUCGCACCUCUUUCAGAUGUAUAUAUACUUGAGAAUCAAUAGAAAGAGGACUGCUGGUCCAUUCAUUUCCAUUCAAUCUCGUUUUACUCUAACACGUUAUCAUGCACUUGCUCUGCCAAGAGCGAUUUGGCCACUAGAACAAAAAAGAAAGCGAGAGGAAAGAUGGGGAAACAACGGAUCCCCGCAUCUGGAUGCGAAGACGCUCGCACGAGGACGGAGUCCUGAGAACGAAGCGCCCGACAGCCCACGGCGCCAUUGUUGCGCCCGGUGAGGCCACCCUCCCACGCUACCCGUCAGCGUCAAGCGACGACGAACAGCACCAAGCAACUCCGGCGAUCUUCAACCAUGGAACGAGAUGCAAAGAGAAACAAGGCCACCAUGAGAAGAAAACACAUAAUACAGGGAGUUAAAAUUCCUUGCAUCUACCAAGACGAGAAGAACAGAGAAGUAGAAAGAAAAUAGAGAACUCACAUAACGCGCAUCGGGAAAUCGAUCACGAAACACUAAUUUUGUUUAAUUUUUGUUCUUCCCGUGAUCUGGAGAUUAACUGCUUUUCUGCACAUAAUAUGUGAACAUGGUGAGAUGAACAGAUGGUUGAAGCAUCAACCGAAAGAAAUCCAUGACCAAGGAAGAGAAAACCUCAAUCAAUCAAGAAGAAUCAUCAAAUCAUACAAACAGAAGAAGGUAUCAUGUAUUUCUCGCCAUCACUGCAGCGGCAGCAACCUCGUCGAGGACGCGCGCAUAAGCAUCACUCCUCCGGGCGCGGAGACCACAUCCACCACACGCCGCUCCUCCGAGCGGACCUCGGCCCGGCUCCUCGCAGAGCAGCCGCAUCACGCGAUGGAGGUGGCCCCGCGCUCAAGUCCGAGCAAACGGCCGCAGUCGGCGUUGCCCUGGCGCACAGCACCACGCACACCUCGAUGCCACGACCCGAACGACGGCAGCGCCUUUCGGCGCGGCGACCUCCUCCUCACAACUACGGCGGCAUAGAAAAAAAAAUCCCCUUACAGGAAAGGGAGCACAGCCCGGCGACGACGUGCGGCGCAUCAGCGUCUCUAAGCAGGCAACAAUGGGGAUGGUUUCUCAAUGGCCUACAGCCCACCACACACGCGCAGGAGAUGAGAUUGGAAAUCCUUAUCCAAUUGGCAUAGUUGCACUUUGGUCCUACUAUUUUAUCUACUAUCAGAGAGGACCAGUAUUUCUUACUCAAGCCCUUAGGCUUGUUUCAGUAUGCAAAACAGCCUUGGGAAUAUAGAUGCUAAUCAAGUCAUCAUCUUUGUCUUUACCGCAAAUAUUCUUUAUGACAUGCAUUUUGGGACAACAACUAUAAAUUUGCAAUAAAACGUAUUUUUUCCUUGCAAAUCCUAAGAAUUAAAAGUGUCAUACUCAAUAUGACUAGCCCAAAUUUUAUUUGUGAAUCACAAAGUAUUUGAUGUCAUCUACUGCAUUUUUUGCAGAUUAUCCAUCUCUACUGUAAGAUCUUCAUUUUGUCAUUUUGGCAAGAUGACUAUCAUCAAUGUGCUCUUCCAAAUACUAAUGGCAUAUAGCCUAUUUUUUGUGAAUCACAAGGUAUUGGUGACAUCUACUGCAUCAUUUGCAGAUUAUUCACCCUUACUGUGAGGUCCACAUCUUGUCAAUUUUAUAAGAUGAUUACCUUCAAAGUGCUCUUCCAAAAUAUUAAUAUUUGGCGUGACUACCUCAAGAUAUCAUAAGGUAAUACUGGCAUCUACUGUAAAUUUUACAGAUUAUCCACUAUUACUGCAAGGUCUACAUCAUAUCACUUUGACAAAUGAUUGCCUUCAAAGUGAUUUCAUACAUUUAGCAUAACAUAAGGUAAUAGAAUUAUAAACAUCUACUGACAAUAGUCAGACUAUGUUUUCUAUUACUGCGAGAUCUAUACCAUAUUGGUGAUUAUCUUUAAAGUGUUAUCCUAUAUAAAUUGAGGUCUACACAUAUGGCUAUAUGGCAUCAGCCAUACUAAAAUUUGCUCCUCUGAAGCAAUUGUUGUUGUUCACUAAAAUGAUUUACUAUCAUAGUAAAUUCAUGCAUGAUUAUUGCAUGUUGAAUGGUAUUAUCUACCAAUAUCAAUUAUUAAAGCCUCUUUUUGCUUGAAUAUGUCAUAGGGAACUACAUAAAUAUUUGCAUUUACUUGUGAUUACCUUCUAUUACAUUGGUAAAAUACAUGGCAAUGAAGCCUACUACAAUAUUUCUAAUUAUAGUGUCGUCCAUCCAUCAUGAUGGACCACAUAAUUUAUGACAAUAAUUAAGUGUCUCAACACUUUCGCAAGGUCCACAGGACAUCGUGGUUAUAAUUUCAUAGUGACUAACCAAUGUUAAGCAUGCAAGUCUAUACGUUUUGGCAGUGACUCUAAAGUCACACAGUUCCUCAAGAAUGAAGUCCAAAACAUUAGCAAUAAUUUAAUCACAUGUGUUGUAUUGAAGGAUACACCCAGGUUCACCAAGGAUCACCUUGACCAUGAUUGUUCUCAAACAAAUCAUUUAUUUAUAGAUGCUCCUUACUCCUAGAAGUAAAUUAAAUAAAUGCAUUAGCAUUUUCAAGUAACGCAUGGCUCACAUUUCCAAAUACAGUAAGUACAUGUUAGGUGAGAUUAUUUAUUGUAAGAUGAUUUACGACAUCAGUCGUUUUAUCCACCCGAGGCAUUAUUGCUACUAUAACCUCACCUUCGGAAUAUGUGUCAUGGCUAUUCUCUUAAUAGCUAAGUAUUAUCAUAUGUAUUUCAUCUCUCACCAACAUCACUUAGUUCUCAAACUAUGUACAUAAUGGAUGAAUAUUUAUUCACCUUGAAUAUUUCCCUUAAGAGAAACAUGCUGCCCUGAGCACACUUGGAAUGAUCACCCAAUAAUUUUUCAAGACCUCAAGUCUAUCGCAACUUACAAUUUUGGUAAUUAUAAAAUCAACUUGAAGUUGAGAUCUCAUGAUCUGACAUUUUCAUAUGCAGAUCAGGUUGAAAAGCCCUUGAUACACUUUACAUCUCCUUAUGAUGGUAUUACCAUUUUCAUGGUAAAGAAACAUGUUAUUUCUUAAACUCAUCAUAUUCACCCAACGGGUUCCUCAAAUAUUUGCAAGCAUUGAGAAUACUAUGCAUGUGAGUGGUCACAAAAUAGAACAAUGAGGCAUUCAAAGUAAAGUGGAGGAUAAAGACAACCAAUGACAUUAUUACCUUUUAAUUAGUAAUUGAUCAUUUUAAAAAGAUUACAAAGACAACUCUCAAGUUUGUCAAAUGUGCGGUUACAUGAAUAUCGUACCUAUGAUUACCAAACACUCAAACAUAUGGUCAAACCACACCAUGAGUUUAUUAAAAGGCAUUAAGUUCAUUGUGUUAUUUGAAAAUUUGCAAACAUACGACCAGAAACUAUUCUGGUAAAUGAUGUUCUCGAAUCUUCAUCAGAAGGAGAAGCAAAAAUAUAGUGCAAUAAAAGAAUGAUCAAUUCGUUUGUGCCUAUGAUAUGUUUGCAUAACUCAUUUUUUCCGUAAUAUGGGAGACCUCAUGUAAUAUCCCGAUUAUUCCCAAAAUAUUGUUUGCCUGUAGUCGUACUACUACAUGUAGUAUAAAUGUCCAAUAUCCUAUUUCUUGGACAUUAUAUUUGAUAAUUUUUGCAUGUAUGAAUCAAUUCAUACUCAGUUUUGUUGCGUACACAAUAAUUUUCUAAAUCUUACAAAAUAUUUGGUUUUAAGCCUUACAAUCCAGGUUUGGGGUUGUUUAGAAAAUUAUUAACAAUUCUAUUGGUCACAACUUAACAAGUUGCAAAAUUUCCCAAAUCAUCAGAUUUUAUGUGCACCACAUGUGCCAUAGNNNNNNNNNNNNNNNNNNNNNNNNNNNNNNNNNNNNNNNNNNNNNNNNNNNNNNNNNNNNNNNNNNNNNNNNNNNNNNNNNNNNNNNNNNNNNNNNNNNNNNNNNNNNNNNNNNNNNNNNNNNNNNNNNNNNNNNNNNNNNNNNNNNNNNNNNNNNNNNNNNNNNNNNNNNNNNNNNNNNNNNNNNNNACUCAUUCUUCCUUGAACACAUUCAGAAGAUAUGUGGAUUACUCAACCAUUAUGUGGUAUUUUAUAGAUACUUUAUGGUACUCAUGAAAAAAUUUAUAAAAUGAUUUCUAGUGUGUCUCCUGUCACACAAACCAUGAAUGAUAUAACUAAAUCAAUUGCUCAAAUUCUUAAAGUAAGAGCAAGUUAUCCUAAACAAGGGAUAAAUCCAUUCGAAUGGACAACUUUGUUGAACUCAUUUCACAAGAAAUAUCUGAUUAUAUAUAAUACUUUAUGUACAUACCCAAAAUGGUUUAGUUCAAUAUCUUAUCAAAGAUAGUGAAAUUAAUAAUAUGACCAAACUUAUAGAAUCAUGAUUUACUAGCCUCAUGCUAGACAAAUACGACAUUACACACCGUAAGUAUGAUAUAAAUCAUACCAACUAAAUAGCAUACUACUUUCCCCUUUUAAUAAUUACGUGAAAAUCAACAAAGUAUUUCCUAUCUACGAUAAUUCGGUUACAUACCGAUAUCACCACUCCAGCAUACAUCAAUGGGCUCUCACAGAAAAUUAGGGAUCUAAGUGAGGAACGACAAUUUAUCCGUCAAUCAAAAUUAUUCAUAGCCCUCAGCAAUAAGGACAUUUCUGGCAUUAGGGGGAGAUAAGUACCACAAAGAAUGCCAAGAAAUAAAUUAGGAAUGUUAUUCACAUUCAGUCCUUAUAUCCACGUACUCAAAGAAUAUGAACAAGAAGUUUAGAAUCACAUAUUUGCAACACAUUGCAAAUCUGCCACAUACAUUUACUGAUGACAAAGGUGUCACUCAAUUUUAUAUUCCUGCAGUAAAGUGUGAGAAAGAGUGGAGGUACCUGAUAAACCACUCUUCUCCCAAAAUGAGAGCAAGAGGGGGAGGAAUCUGACGACACGAGAUAUAAUCUCGCAUAUGCUUCCGCGGAAAUAGAGGAAAUCAAAUCCUCAACCAGUAAAUGUAAUUCAACAUCAAGUUGAAAGACACCUCACUGGAUGCUCAUCAUCCAAAGCCCGACAUAAAUGUGCACAAAUGUUUUCGUGUCGGGACAUCGAAACACCUUGACUCCAUUGUUGUAGGAAAUCACAAGGAGUUAAAAGGAAUAAAUACAUUUCCACAAAUUUCAUUGAUUCCUCUAGAAUCAUAUAACAUAAGUCUACAUUUGUCGACAUAUAUUUCUUCUGAAAAUUGCUAAAACCUUUUGGGCCCUGAACCAAAAUCCAUGGUAGAGUGCCUCUUGUACUCAUAUUGGUUCACAUAAAAGGAAGCAAGUAAUGAAGAAUAGCACUCGCUCUACAAACGAGUGGUAUUUACCACAGUAAUACCUACUCCUCAUAAGUAUCUUCCAUAUGGAAUACUAAAAACUUCUCAUUCAUAGACAAAGUCAAUGAGGUGGUGAGAAAGCGAGUCUUGUAGCAAAAGGGUUCACGCAGAGACCUGACAUCAAAUUAUGAUGUAACAUACCUUCUUGGUAUGAGUGGAACUAUGUUUCGAUAAUAAAUACCAUUGGCAGUACAAAUAAUAUUAUCCAUGCAGUUGAUGGAUGGAGUGGCUACAUACUCAUAUGAGUCACUCAUUUCAGAAAUAUAUAUUAAAGUCCCUGAAGGGCUUACAAUUCUGAAUCCAAAAUAAAUCGCAACAUAUUUUUGUAAAAUUUCAAAAUUCACUUUAUGACUAGAAAUAGUCGUGAAUCAUAUGGUACUACUGACUAGACGAGUUCCUUCUUCAGAGGAUUACUCAAAGGAUGAUGAUUGUUUAUGUGUUAAUAAAGGAAUACCAAAAUUUUAUUUCCUUACAUCACCUGAGUGUAUAUGAUGAUUUCAUCAUCAAUGUCUCUACAAGACCUAAACAUACAUAAAAUCAUCUCAAGACGGAAAAUUUGGAUUCAACCAAAUUUAGCUUAAGUUUACAACUUGAGCAUUCUCUCAAGAAUACAUAUCAGUCUACAUAUAUCCAAACAUAUACGAGAAGUUCAAUUUGGAUAUAUCAUAUCAACAAAAGACAUGUAUGGUCAUACUACCUUUGAUAAGGUACAAAUCCCUUCAUACCUAGGGGUGAUAAUGAAGUGAUACUAGGACCUGAAGUUCUAUAUCUCACUAAUGCCAAAGCACUCAUAUACUUGCAAACUACGUUAGGCCUGACACUAUAUUUGCUAUCUUUAUUCGGAGUGCAACCUCAAACAAAAGGUAUAUGGUUGAUAUAAGUACUAUCAUCUUAUAUCUGAAGAUUACAGUAAAUCUUGGAUAUUUCCAUCAGGAAAUAGAAGAUAUGAGCAUGAUAUGAUGUAAUGAUAUUGGCUCUUUAUUUGAUCCCAACGACGCCAUAUCAAUGACUGAAUUUGCUGGAAUAGCCUUCACAUGGAAGUCAUAUAAAUGAAUUUUAAUGGCUAUUUCCACUUAUCAUUCUGACAUAAUUGCUUUAUCCUAAAGCAUUGCAAAAUAUGUAUGGCUUGGCAGAAUGAUUAACCACACUCAAAAUUGUGUGGUUGAGAUUCAUCAGAAUCACAUAACUUGAUUUAUCAAGAUACUUCCACUUGUGUUACUCAAUAACUACAGGUAAUAUGAAGAGCAAUAUCAUAAAUCACAUUGCUCAGAAAUUACUUAUCCUCAUGGAUUAUAGAAAGUUGAGGAAAUAAUUUGCAAACAAAAUAUUGUGAUAGUCUAAUAGAUUAUACACAAUCUUAUGUUCAUGUGAAUGGCAUUGGUAUGAGACAUCCUCCAUAUUUGCAAAGUUCAGGGGGAGUAAUCUCCCAGACUAUAACCUAUUAACAAUCAUCAGAUUGCAUAUAUUGUACUCUUUUUCCCUUGAUGAGUUUUUCCAUAAUGGUUUCUCAUAAAAGGUUUUUAACGAGAUAAUAUAAACACAAGUGUCUUUAUACGCCAUAUCAUUUUCUUCUUGUAUUUUUCCCAUUGGGUUUUAAAGGAGUUUUCAAUGGCAUGUACGAUUGCACUCUUUUCCCUUAUGAGUAUUCUCUCAAAGUUUCUCAUAAUGGUUUUUAGUGAGGCAAUAUCUUCUCAAAGAUCAUAUGUCAUACUUUCUAUUUUCCCUACCAGGGUUUUUAAAGGAAGUACUCAAGACAUAUUAAUUGUUCUCUAAACUUAUCAAUGAGUUUUCUCCUUCUUCAAAGGUUUUCUCAUAUGAGUUAUCAAGAGACAAUGAUCAUCAUAUGUUGCAUCAUUUUCUCCUUAUUUUUCCCACUGGGUUUGAAGGAGUUUUAGCAACAUAUCUACUCUAUUCUCCUCAUAUUUUUCCCACAGGGUUUUUGGGGGAGACUCUCAAGAUUAUCUGGAAGAUUUCUCAAGAUGGAAGAUCUAUAUGCAAGAAGCUUUCAGCGAUGAAACAUUCAAGGAGUGGUGUUGUACAAGGGGGAGUGUUAGAAAUUAAUUAGUAUAUUAAUUCAAGGGAUAUGUCCAACCCGAACAGUCGUGUCUCCUCUUUGUGUCUAUUGCCAACAGGCACCUGUUCUGGAGGGAUGCCUCCGAACAAACACCUCUUCUUCGCACCUCUUUCAGAUGUAUAUAUACUUGAGAAUCAAUAGAAAGAGGACUGCUGGUCCAUUCAUUUCCAUUCAAUCUCGUUUUACUCUAACA